CUUUGCAUAUAGGUGGAAAGUCUUCUGGUGCCCACAGGCUCCUCUCGGUCUCUGCCCGAGUGCAGGCCGGACUUAGGGAGUUGGCUAGCUGCCUCUGCUCUAAGUCUUUCAAAUUCCGGCUCGGAAGGAGGCUCUGAUUGAGGUCCUUUGUGAGGCCUGGAGGAGCCACUGCGAGGCAAUCAAGUUUAAGGGUUCAAGCAGUUUCCAUCCAUCUCCUGGAAGCAACUGCAGGAAAACCCACUCAGAUCACAUAAGGAAAGGGGAUAAGAAGACAGAAUCUUAUUUGCUAUAGGAUUUUAAAAACUUCCUCUAAACUGUCAUCGAUAGCAUUGUUCAUCCCCAGAAACUGGCCUUUUAAGGAGUAUAGCUGCCUCGUCAAAGACGUCAGAAAUGAAGGGCUGCCAGUGCUGCCAGAAUUCAUCCAUAUGCUUAUCAACAAGCAAGUGAUUAAUAUCGGCAAAAACAAUCAAAAUGUAUGCAGUCAACUUUAUUCACUUUUCAUUGUGGUGGCAGAAAAAUGCAGGACUUGGAGUCAAGGAGGCUUGGUUUAAAUUCCACCAUUGGCAUUUAUCGGAUAUGUGACCUUGGGCAAGUAAUUUAACCUUUUUCAGUUUCAGUUUCCUCAUCUGUGAAAGUGGGAUAUUAUCACCUACCACACAGGCUUGUGUAAAGAGCAAAUGGAACAACAUUUGCAAAGUGAUUUGCAAACUUCAACAUGCUAUAUAGAUGAAAUGCAAUGUUUUUAAAUUUUAUUAUGCUUAGUUGUUUCAAUAAAGAGCUUUAUUUUUACCA
Molecule: long non-coding RNA, 792 nt
Filed under: Phascolarctos cinereus (koala)
Lineage: Eukaryota; Metazoa; Chordata; Mammalia; Diprotodontia; Phascolarctidae
Description: lncRNA (ENSPCIG00000006628.2)
Source: RNAcentral